Molecule: transfer RNA, 71 nt
Filed under: Ictidomys tridecemlineatus (thirteen-lined ground squirrel)
Lineage: Eukaryota; Metazoa; Chordata; Mammalia; Rodentia; Sciuridae
Description: Spermophilus tridecemlineatus (thirteen-lined ground squirrel) tRNA
Rfam family: tRNA
About the family: Transfer RNA (tRNA) molecules are approximately 80 nucleotides in length. Their secondary structure includes four short double-helical elements and three loops (D, anti-codon, and T loops).
Source: Rfam by way of RNAcentral
UGGGGUGUAGCUUAGUCGUAGAGCACAUGCUUAGCAAGCCUGAGGCUCUGGAUCAAUCCCUAGCACCACAA